This 470-nucleotide ribosomal RNA is filed under the name uncultured organism. RNAcentral's name for it is "partial 16S ribosomal RNA". It matches the Rfam family "Bacterial small subunit ribosomal RNA", at positions 335 to 797 of the family's 1533-position model. The record is from RNAcentral.
ACUCCUACGGGAGGCAGCAGUGGGGAAUAUUGCACAAUGGGCGCAAGCCUGAUGCAGCCAUGCCGCGUGUAUGAAGAAGGCCUUCGGGUUGUAAAGUACUUUCAGCGGGGAGGAAGGCAAUACGGUUAAUAACCGUGUUGAUUGACGUUACCCGCAGAAGAAGCACCGGCUAACUCCGUGCCAGCAGCCGCGGUAAUACGGAGGGUGCAAGCGUUAAUCGGAAUUACUGGGCGUAAAGCGCACGCAGGCGGUCUGUCAAGUCGGAUGUGAAAUCCCCGGGCUCAACCUGGGAACUGCAUUCGAAACUGGCAGGCUUGAGUCUUGUAGAGGGGGGUAGGAUUCCAGGUGUAGCGGUGAAAUGCGUAGAGAUCUGGAGGAAUACCGGUGGCGAAGGCGGCCCCCUGGACAAAGACUGACGCUCAGGUGCGAAAGCGUGGGGAGCAAACAGGAUUAGAAACCCUUGUAGUCCC